This 652-nucleotide long non-coding RNA is filed under the name Octopus vulgaris (common octopus). The record is from RNAcentral. Lineage: Eukaryota; Metazoa; Mollusca; Cephalopoda; Octopoda; Octopodidae.
AUACGCACACACAUACACACAUAGUCCACAGAUGAGACCCACAGAUUCUCCAUAUAGAAGACAUUUAGUAGUGCUUAAAAGAUUCAAACUUAGACUCCGAUGUCUUUACAGGGGAUCAUUCCACAGAGUAAAGAAAGGCUAUAAGAGGGGUCAGGUUGAGUAGAUAUAGAGGAAAAUUAUGCAGAUAAAUUAGAUACAUCAAAUAUAUUAAAUAUAUUAGUUUGGGUAUAAAAUACAAAAUAUGUAUAUAUUUAUACAUGCAAAAGGUGGAGACUUUCAGAUGAUGAAUUUUUAAGAAUAAAUAUAUAGAUACUAAUAUUAAUAGGUCAAAGUUCAAAGAUGGAAUUCCAUCUUUGAACUUCUCUGCAUUUAGAUCUAAAAUGUAAGAUCUCUAUCCUGAUGAGAGAGGCUCAUCUCAUCCAAUGUUAAUUGCAUCUAUCUAAAUCUACCAACAUUAUUAUGGAACACUGAGCCCCCAGAAACAGCCAUGAGAAUUAUAACACCUUUUUUCCACCCCUUUAAUUUUCUCUGUCGUUUGUACACUGUGUAAGUUGGACAUAUUAAUAUAGAUAUCUACAUAUUGAUACUUAAAAAUUCAUCAUCUCAAAGUUUCCACCUUCUGCUUUCUCUCAUUUUGCAUGUGUACAUUUCU